This 69-nucleotide transfer RNA is filed under the name Labrus bergylta (ballan wrasse). It matches the Rfam family "tRNA". Rfam says of the family: Transfer RNA (tRNA) molecules are approximately 80 nucleotides in length. Their secondary structure includes four short double-helical elements and three loops (D, anti-codon, and T loops). Lineage: Eukaryota; Metazoa; Chordata; Actinopteri; Labriformes; Labridae. The record is from Rfam by way of RNAcentral.
GUUUCUGUAGUUGAACAACAACGGCGGUUUUUCACGCCGUAAGUCUUGGUUAAAGCCCAGGCAGAAACA